CCUACGGGAGGCAGCAGUGGGGAAUAUUGGGCAAUGGGCGAAAGCCUGACCCAGCAACGCCGCGUGAAGGAAGAAGGCUUUCGGGUUGUAAACUUCUUUUGACAGGGAAGAGCAGAAGACGGUACCUGUCGAAUAAGCCACGGCUAACUACGUGCCAUCAGCCGCGGUAAUACGUAGGUGGCAAACGUUGUCCGGAUUUACGGGGGGUAAAGGGCGUGUAGCCGGGCUGACAAGUCAGAUGUGAAAUCCGGGGGCUCAACCCCCGAACUGCAUUUGAAACUGUUGGUCUUGAGUAUCGGAGAGGCAGGCGGAAGUCCUAGUGUAGCGGUGAAAUGCGUAGAUAUUAGGAGGAACACCAGUGGCGAAGGCGGCCUGCUGGACGACAACUGACGGUGAGGCGCGAAAGCGUGGGGAGCAAACAGGAUUAGAUACCCCUGUAGUC
This 442-nucleotide ribosomal RNA is filed under the name uncultured bacterium. RNAcentral's name for it is "partial 16S ribosomal RNA". It matches the Rfam family "Bacterial small subunit ribosomal RNA", at positions 338 to 795 of the family's 1533-position model. The record is from RNAcentral.